RNAcentral lists this ribosomal RNA (301 nucleotides) under uncultured bacterium. RNAcentral describes it as "partial 16S ribosomal RNA". It matches the Rfam family "Bacterial small subunit ribosomal RNA", at positions 509 to 807 of the family's 1533-position model. The record is from RNAcentral.
CAGCCGCCGCGGUAACACGUAUGUCACGAGCGUUAUCCGGGUUUAUUGGGCGUAAAGCGCGUCUAGGUGGUUAUACAAGUCUAAUGUGAAAGCCCCAGGCUCAACCGGGGAGGGUCAUUGGAAACUGGGAAACUUGAGUGCAGAAGAGGAGAGUGGAAUUCCACGUGUAGCGGUGAAAUGCGUAGAGAUGUGGAGGAACACCAGUGGCGAAGGCGACUCUCUGGUCUGUAACUGACACUGAGGCGCGAAAGCGUGGGGAGCAAACAGGAUUAGAUACCCGCGUAGUCCCUGUCUCUUAUAC